AGCUAAGUCAAAGAUCAUUUUGUUGGU
RNAcentral lists this non-coding RNA (27 nucleotides) under Bombyx mori (domestic silkworm). Lineage: Eukaryota; Metazoa; Arthropoda; Insecta; Lepidoptera; Bombycidae. The record is from RNAcentral.